This 605-nucleotide ribosomal RNA is filed under the name uncultured bacterium. RNAcentral's name for it is "bacterial SSU rRNA". It matches the Rfam family "Bacterial small subunit ribosomal RNA", at positions 888 to 1498 of the family's 1533-position model. The record is from RNAcentral.
GCAAGAUUAAAACUCAAAGGAAUAGACGGGGACCCGCACAAGUGGUGGAGCACGUGGUUUAAUUCGAAGAUACGCGAAGAACCUUACCUAGCCUUGACAUUGAUAGAAUCUUCCAGAGAUGGAGGAGUGCCUUUCGGGGAACUUGAAAACAGGUGCUGCACGGCUGUCGUCAGCUCGUGUCGUGAGAUGUUGGGUUAAGUCCCGCAACGAGCGCAACCCUCGUCACUAGUUACUAACAGUUAGGCUGAGGACUCUAGUGAGACUGCCUUCGUAAGGAGGAGGAAGGUGAGGACGACGUCAAGUCAUCAUGGCCCUUACGGCUAGGGCAACACACGUGCUACAAUGGUUAGGACAGUGAGAAGCGAUACCGCGAGGUGGAGCCAAUCUAUAAACCUAAUCUCAGUUCGGAUUGUAGUCUGCAACUCGACUACAUGAAGCUGGAAUCACUAGUAAUCGUAGAUCAGCUAUGCUACGGUGAAUACGUUCCCGGGUCUUGUACUCACCGCCCGUCACACCAUGGGAGUUGAUUUCACCCGAAGCGGGGAAGCUAAACUGGCUACCCUCCACGGUGGAAUUAGCGACUGGGGUGAAGUCGUAACAAGGUA